Long non-coding RNA from Cercocebus atys (sooty mangabey), 1545 nucleotides. RefSeq lists it as uncharacterized. The transcript is spliced from 4 exons. The record is from RefSeq and is a predicted model, not a curated record. Lineage: Eukaryota; Metazoa; Chordata; Mammalia; Primates; Cercopithecidae.
GUCCACCUGCCUCAGCCUCCCAAAGUGCUGGGAUUGCAGGCGUGAGCCACUGCACCUGGCCAGUAGGUUGAGUUUUAAUGAUGUCUGUGAAGAUGCAAGUUCAGCUGUGACCUGGAAGUGUGGCCUGGCACCUGAGAGGAGCACUGCAGACCGCCUGUUCUGUGUUGCUUGCAUUGGCAUCCAUGAUUUUCUCAUCUUAUUGAACUGGCUAGAGCCCUCAACGUAUGGUGUAAAAGCAACCUUGUCUUAAUCCUUUUUGAAAGGAAAUGUUCCAGAUUCUACCAUUUGGUACCAUGUUUGCUCUAAGAUUUUGAAUAAAGCCAUAAAAACAUCUCGGUUGAAGCAAAGGGAAGCAGCAAAGAAACUGACUCCUCCCAGUUGCCCACCAUACACUCCCUUUUCAUCUCAACAGUGAGUUAGGUGGACAACCAUCUCCCACUGUCUCCUGGUACCAUCUCUAAUCUUACAGCCUCACUGGAGUUAUCCAAGGUCCUGAAGACACCCCAGUGACACUCCCCAGUCUCACAGUUUGAAGGUUGCAGUUCAGGGAUCAGACUGUCUCUCCAGGCAACAAACAUCUGCACCAGCUGGACUGCUGCUACUGCGCGGGGUGGGGUGUGAUGGACAGUGGGGUCCUGUACUACGGGCCUGUCGUCCUGGGUCUGUUCUGCCCAGUGGACCUGUCCAGGCUGCUGCAGGAGUGGUGAUGCUCAUGCCACCUGGCCACUUGACCUUGCUCUGCAUAACCUAAUGACCACCAUCGUUUAAUGGUUGCAUCACAUUCCAUCACACGGUCAAUAGUCGUUUUUCUCUACUUUUUUAUUGUUAGGUAUUGCCUUUUUUUUUUUCUUAUUUCUUUCAAUGAUAAAUGCUGGUUUGAUGAAUGUGGUAUACAUUUAUUUUGUUUGUGUUUUGCAUUAUUCCUGGGAAGAACAGAUUUCUCAGUGUAGAAAUACUGAUUCAGAAGCUCUGCAUGUUUUUAAGCUUCAUAUGCGUAAUGCUGAGUUGCUUUCUGCAGAAGUUAGCCCAACAGCAUAUAACCAUGCCUCUUUUUUCCCAUUCUCUUCAGCGCUGUUUUAAUAGCGUUAAAUAUUUGUACCUUGUAAUAGUGCAAAAUUAUGUCCCUAUGUUUCAGUCCUCUCUCCUUUGAUUACUAGAAAUGUUGAAGUGUUUUCAUUAUUAAGCACAGGUGUAAAUCCAUUUCUACAGUUUUGCUAACUUUUCUUGGGUUGGUAAUAUCUUUAUCACCAAUGUAUUUGAACUUAGAUUAUAGGAAGUUUAUUAAACCUUUGUGAUGUAUUUGUUAUAAAUAUUUUUCUGAAUUAUUAGAUAAGUUAUAAUUUGGUUAAUUAUGUGUGUUGGCCCACAUAAGUUCAAAGUUGCUAUGUACUCAAAAUUUUUCCAUUGUGAUUUACUUAAUACAUUUUCACACUUAGACAUUUCUUCCUUGUCCGCUGUUGCUUAUGCUUUCUUAGAAUUUAUUAUGUCCUUAUGUAUUUAAUGCUUUUAUUUUAGUAAAUGGUGAAAAUAAAAAUCAAAACCCUU